ACGCUCGAAGUAAACCUAAGAAAAAAACAUGGUCUCGCGACCAAAGAGGAUGGGUUCGGGAGUCGAUUAUGCGAAGGGAAGGUAUUAGGCACCCUACGCAUCCGUAGUACUCUACGGGAUCCACGCACAGAAGGAAAGAGAAUUGGUUGCUAAACACUGCUCAAACUCACACACACUGGCUGAAAGAAACGAAAGAGACUGACUGAAACUGACUCGGCAGGAUGUCGCAUCCUGGGCCUACUUAGUCUAUCA
RNAcentral lists this long non-coding RNA (252 nucleotides) under Lathyrus oleraceus (garden pea). RNAcentral describes it as "Pisum sativum (pea) long non-coding RNA (PSAT_LNC033758)". Lineage: Eukaryota; Viridiplantae; Streptophyta; Magnoliopsida; Fabales; Fabaceae. The record is from RNAcentral.